UUUGAACGCGAAGAACCUUACCUGGGUUUGACAUACACCAGAAAGCGGCAGAGAUGUCGCCCCCCUUGUGGUUGGUGUACAGGUGUGUGCAUGGCUGUCGUCAGCUCGUGUCGUGAGAUGUUGGGUUAAGUCCCGCAACGAGCGCAACCCUUAUCUUAUGUUGCCAGCGCGUAAUGGCGGGGACUCGUGAGAGACUGCCGGGGUCAACUCGGAGGAAGGUGGGGAUGACGUCAAGUCAUCAUGCCCCUUAUGUCCAGGGCUUCACACAUGCUACAAUGGCCGGUACAGAGGGCUGCGAGACCGUGAGGUGGAGCGAAUCCCUUAAAGCCGGUCUCAGUUCGGAUCGGGGUCUGCAACUCGACCCCGUGAAGUUGGAGUCGGCUAGUAAUCGCAGAUCAGCAACGCUGCGGUGAAUACGUUCCCGGGUCUUGUACACACGCA
Molecule: ribosomal RNA, 441 nt
Filed under: bacterium CPTAC18B
Lineage: Bacteria
Description: bacterial SSU rRNA
Rfam family: Bacterial small subunit ribosomal RNA
Source: RNAcentral